RNAcentral lists this ribosomal RNA (396 nucleotides) under Triticum aestivum (bread wheat). RNAcentral's name for it is "partial small subunit ribosomal RNA". The record is from RNAcentral. Lineage: Eukaryota; Viridiplantae; Streptophyta; Magnoliopsida; Poales; Poaceae.
AUGGGUUGUUGGCCGGCGCCCCCCCUCCCAGGGGGCCUAUAUAAAGGGGGGAGGGAGGGCAGCAAUACCACAGCCUUUGGCGCCUCCCUCCUCCCCUGCAACACCUCUCCCUCUCGCAGAAGCUUGGCGAAGCCCUGCCGAGAUCCCGCUACAUCCACCACCACGCCGUCGUGCUGCUGGAUCUCCAUCAACCUCUCCUUCUCCCUUGCUGGAUCAAGAAGGAGGAGACGUCGCUGCUCCGUACGUGUGUUGAACGCGGAGGUGUCGUCCGUUCGGCACUCGGUCAUCGGUGAUUUGGAUCACGGCGAGUACGACUCCAUCAACCUCGUUCAUUGGAACGCUUCCGCUCGCGAUCUACAAGGGUAUGUAGAUGCACUCCUUUCCCCUCGUUGCUAG